GUCGAACGGUAACAGGAAGAAGCUUGCUUCUUUGCUGACGAGUGGCGGACGGGUGAGUAAUGUCUGGGAAACUGCCUGAUGGAGGGGGAUAACUACUGGAAACGGUAGCUAAUACCGCAUAACGUCGCAAGAUCAAAGAGGGGGACCUUCGGGCCUCUUGCCAUCGGAUGUGCCCAGAUGGGAUUAGCUAGUAGGUGGGGUAACGGCUCACCUAGGCGACGAUCCCUAGCUGGUCUGAGAGGAUGACCAGCCACACUGGGACUGAGACACGGCCCAGACUCCUACGGGAGGCAGCAGUAGGGAAUCUUCGGCAAUGGACGAAAGUCUGACCGAGCAACGCCGCGUGAGUGAAGAAGGUUUUCGGAUCGUAAAACUCUGUUGUUAGAGAAGAACAAGGACGUUAGUAACUGAACGUCCCCUGACGGUAUCUAACCAGAAAGCCACGGCUAACUACGUGCCAGCAGCCGCGGUAAUACGUAGGUGGCAAGCGUUGUCCGGAUUUAUUGGGCGUAAAGCGAGCGCAGGCGGUUUCUUAAGUCUGAUGUGAAAGCCCCCGGCUCAACCGGGGAGGGUCAUUGGAAACUGGGAGACUUGAGUGCAGAAGAGGAGAGUGGAAUUCCAUGUGUAGCGGUGAAAUGCGUAGAUAUAUGGAGGAACACCAGUGGCGAAGGCGGCUCUCUGGUCUGUAACUGACGCUGAG
Molecule: ribosomal RNA, 700 nt
Filed under: uncultured bacterium
Lineage: Bacteria
Description: bacterial SSU rRNA
Rfam family: Bacterial small subunit ribosomal RNA
Source: RNAcentral